Molecule: ribosomal RNA, 468 nt
Filed under: Escherichia coli
Lineage: Bacteria; Pseudomonadati; Pseudomonadota; Gammaproteobacteria; Enterobacterales; Enterobacteriaceae
Description: bacterial SSU rRNA
Rfam family: Bacterial small subunit ribosomal RNA
Source: RNAcentral
AAAUUGAAGAGUUUGAUCAUGGCUCAGAUUGAACGCUGGCGGCAGGCCUAACACAUGCAAGUCGAACGGUAACAGGAAGAAGCUUGCUUCUUUGCUGACGAGUGGCGGACGGGUGAGUAAUGUCUGGGAAACUGCCUGAUGGAGGGGGAUAACUACUGGAAACGGUAGCUAAUACCGCAUAACGUCGCAAGACCAAAGAGGGGGACCUUCGGGCCUCUUGCCAUCGGAUGUGCCCAGAUGGGAUUAGCUAGUAGGUGGGGUAACGGCUCACCUAGGCGACGAUCCCUAGCUGGUCUGAGAGGAUGACCAGCCACACUGGAACUGAGACACGGUCCAGACUCCUACGGGAGGCAGCAGUGGGGAAUAUUGCACAAUGGGCGCAAGCCUGAUGCAGCCAUGCCGCGUGUAUGAAGAAGGCCUUCGGGUUGUAAAGUACUUUCAGCGGGGAGGAAGGGAGUAAAGUUAAUA